RNAcentral lists this ribosomal RNA (259 nucleotides) under uncultured bacterium. RNAcentral's name for it is "partial 16S ribosomal RNA". It matches the Rfam family "Bacterial small subunit ribosomal RNA", at positions 96 to 354 of the family's 1533-position model. The record is from RNAcentral.
UGGCGGACGGGUGAGUAACGCGUGGGUAACCUGCCCUAUACAGGGGGAUAACAGUUAGAAAUGACUGCUAAUACCGCAUAAGCGCACUAAAACCGCAUGGUUCGGUGUGAAAAACUGAGGUGGUAUAGGAUGGACCCGCGUCUGAUUAGCUUGUUGGUGAGGUAACGGCUCACCAAGGCAACGAUCAGUAGCCGGCCUGAGAGGGCGACCGGCCACAUUGGGACUGAGACACGGCCCAAACUCCUACGGGAGGCAGCAG